Pelobates cultripes (western spadefoot toad) is the source of this 263-nucleotide non-coding RNA. The record is from the annotation of a GenBank genome assembly. Lineage: Eukaryota; Metazoa; Chordata; Amphibia; Anura; Pelobatidae.
CUCAAACAGUGAACACCUAAUGGUAGCAAACACUAUUUGAGAUAUUAAGUAAAGUGAAACAGCUGAUUUAAAUUUAUCUUUUUUGCCCACUGCGAUCUAAACUUAACUUUAAAUACAUGACAAUUCAUACUUUGGUGCAAAGCCUCAAGAAUGUGAUCCGCUGUGUGUAGCACCACUGACUAUGUAAACCACCUACCUAGUCAAUGCCUAGAAGUUACUUACUAGCACACGUGUGUUGUUGAUUCAUGUCCUCAUGGAGCGCC